GGUGCUCCUCUAAAAACAAUAUUUGGAUGAGUAGGUAUGAUUGAUUUGAGUAUCUCAUCAUGUUUAAGUAUGUGCCAGUGUUUUCUUAUUAUUUUUUUAACAUCAUUGCUUUUAUUAUUAAAAUUAAAAAUAACUGGAAGUGGCAUAGUUUCAUUAUUUUCUUUAUUUUUAUAUGUCAGAAGAUCUUUUCGUUCUUUUUGUUUGACUGUAUUAAUUGUGG
Pelobates cultripes (western spadefoot toad) is the source of this 220-nucleotide non-coding RNA. The record is from the annotation of a GenBank genome assembly. Lineage: Eukaryota; Metazoa; Chordata; Amphibia; Anura; Pelobatidae.